RNAcentral lists this ribosomal RNA (912 nucleotides) under uncultured delta proteobacterium. RNAcentral's name for it is "bacterial SSU rRNA". It matches the Rfam family "Bacterial small subunit ribosomal RNA", at positions 28 to 916 of the family's 1533-position model. Lineage: Bacteria; Deltaproteobacteria. The record is from RNAcentral.
AACGAACGCUGGCGGCGUGCUUAACACAUGCAAGUCGAACGAGAAAGUUUUCUUCGGAAAACGAGUAAAGUGGCGCACGGGUGAGUAACGCGUAGAUAACCUGCCCUUGUGUCUGGGAUAACCCACCGAAAGGUGGACUAAUACCGGAUACGCUGAUCAACCAUAAGGUUGAUCAUGAAAGAUGGCCUCUGAUGUAAGCUAUCGCACAGGGAGGGGUCUGCGUACCAUUAGCUUGUUGGUGGGGUAAUGGCCUACCAAGGCGACGAUGGUUAGCGGGUCUGAGAGGAUGAUCCGUCACACUGGCACUGGAACACGGGCCAGACUCCUACGGGAGGCAGCAGUGAGGAAUAUUGCGCAAUGGGGGAAACCCUGACGCAGCGACGCCGCGUGAGUGAGGAAGGCCUUCGGGUCGUAAAACUCUGUCAGAAGGGAAGAAGUGCUAUGCGGUUAAUACCCGUAUAGUUUGACGGUACCUUCAAAGGAAGCACCGGCUAACUCCGUGCCAGCAGCCGCGGUAAUACGGAGGGUGCAAGCGUUGUUCGGAAUCACUGGGCGUAAAGGGCGCGCAGGCGGUUUGGUAAGUCAGAUGUGAAAGCCCACGGCUUAACCGUGGAAGUGCAUUUGAAACUGUCAGACUUGAGUACCAGAGGGGAAAGUGGAAUUCCCGGUGUAGAGGUGAAAUUCGUAGAUAUCGGGAGGAAUACCGGUGGCGAAGGCGACUUUCUGGCUGGAUACUGACGCUGAGGCGCGAAAGCGUGGGGAGCAAACAGGAUUAGAUACCCUGGUAGUCCACGCCGUAAACGAUGUCAACUAGGUGUAGGGGGUGUUGAUCCCCUCUGUGCCGCAGCUAACGCAUUAAGUUGACCGCCUGGGGAGUACGGUCGCAAGAUUAAAACUCAAAGGAAUUGACGG